AAACCUUGUCUGUGUCUCUUGGAACUUGAAGUAAAAACAUUGUUAUAUCUGUUGUUAUCAGUUUAAUAUCUAUAGGUUCUUAAUUUGAAGACUGGAUAUUAAAUUGAUUUUUGAAACAGGGAGAUGGAAUAGGAGCUUGCUCUAUCCACUCCAUGCAUCGAACUGGCAUUGCAGUGUCUCCAAACAAAAAAAAAUGAUA
Molecule: small nuclear RNA, 199 nt
Organism: Mauremys reevesii (Reeves's turtle)
Lineage: Eukaryota; Metazoa; Chordata; Testudines; Geoemydidae
Product: U2 spliceosomal RNA
Exons: 1
Source: RefSeq, a predicted model, not a curated record